GACGAACGCUGGCGGCGUGCCUAAUACAUGCAAGUAGAACGCUGAAUAGAGGAGCUUGCUCUUCUUGGAUGAGUUGCGAACGGGUGAGUAACGCGUAGGUAACCUGCCUGGUAGCGGGGGAUAACUAUUGGAAACGAUAGCUAAUACCGCAUAAAAUUGAUUAUUGCAUGAUAAUUAAUUGAAAGAUGCAACUGCAUCACUACCAGAUGGACCUGCGUUGUAUUAGCUAGUUGGUGAGGUAACGGCUCACCAAAGCGACGAUACAUAGCCGACCUGAGAGGGUGAUCGGCCACACUGGGACUGAGACACGGCCCAGACUCCUACGGGAGGCAGCAGGAGGGAAUCUUCGGCAAGGGGGGGAACCCUGACCGAGCAACGCCGCGUGAGUGAAGAAGGUUUUCGGAUCGUAAAGCUCUGUUGUAAGAGAAGAACGGGUGUGAGAGUGGAAAGUUCACACUGUGACGGUAUCUUACCAGAAAGGGACGGCUAACUACGUG
Molecule: ribosomal RNA, 497 nt
Filed under: uncultured bacterium
Lineage: Bacteria
Description: partial 16S ribosomal RNA
Rfam family: Bacterial small subunit ribosomal RNA
Source: RNAcentral